This 1341-nucleotide ribosomal RNA is filed under the name marine metagenome. Its description in RNAcentral is "bacterial LSU rRNA". It matches the Rfam family "Archaeal large subunit ribosomal RNA", at positions 1621 to 2912 of the family's 2987-position model. The record is from RNAcentral.
AUUGGGGGAGUGUCGUAAUGACGAGAACCCAUUCGAGGCGAGAAUAGCCGGCCGCAUGGUUGGUUCACUUGACUCUGGGAGACAUUGAAAACGGAGUUAUUGAGGAAUCUUUAGGUUCGUACCCAGAACCGACACAGGUGCCCUAGUUGAGUAGACUUCGGUGUAUCGGGUAUAUAGUAGGCGAGGGAAUUCGGCAAAUUAGCCCCGUACCUUCGGUAUAAGGGGUGCCUGCUAUUUUUGCGAGAAGCAGGGAUAGCAGGUCGCAGUGACAAGGGGGUCCCGACUGUUUAAUAAAAACACAGGAAGCUGCUAGCCCGAAAGGGUGUGUAUAGCUUUUGAAUCCUGGCCAGCAACGGUACCUAAAACCUGGGUUCAACUGGGCUAAGGGCCGUUUAGCGCCGGGGGUAACUCUGACCCUCUUAAGGUAGCCAAAUGCCUUGUCGGGUAAGUUCCGACGUGCAUGAAUGGAACAACGAGGGCCCUACUGUCCCCGUCUACUACCCGGCGAACCCACGUAACGUGGACGAACAGUCCACGAACUUCUAUCGGGAAGAGAAGACCCUGUGGAGCUUUACUGCAGCUUGUUGUUGUGAUACGACUAUGAUUGCAGAGUGUAGCUGGGAGCUGUUAUGCACAUGCUUUUGGGUAUGUGAUAAGCGAAAGUGUAACACCAGCCUCUCAUAGUUUUAUCGCUAACCGGGAAACCGGGACACCGGCAGGUGGGCAGUUUGGCUGGGGCGGCACCCCCUUGAAAAAAUAUCGAGGGGGCCCAAAGGUCGGCUCAGGUGGGACAGAAAUCCACCGUAGAGGGCAAGGCUAAAAGCCGGCCUGACUGGGUUCUCAAAAGCACAGAACCCAGGAGCGAAAGCUUGGCCUAGCGAUCCUCCAGGUCCCCACUGUUGGGGGCUGAAGGUGACAGAAAAGUUACCCCAGGGAUAACAGGCUUGUCGCGGGUGAGAGCUCAAAUCGACCCCGCGGAUUGGUACCUCGAUGUCGGCUCUUCCCAUCCUGGUCCUGCAGCAGGGGCCAAGGGUGGGGCUGCUCGCCCAUCAAAGGGGAACGUGAGCUGGGUUUAGACCGUCGUGAGACAGGUCGGCCUCUAUCUGAUAGAAGCGAUGGCCGUCUGAGGGGAAGUUGUCCUCAGUACGAGAGGAACAGGGCAACGUAGCCUCUGGCGUACCGGUUGUCUGAUAAGGCAGUUGCCGGGCAGCUAAGCUAUUGAGGAUAAGAGCUGAAAGCAUCUAAGCUCGAAGCCUCUCCUGAGAAUAGACCGCCUUCCACAUUUCUACUUCUUUCGGGAAGUAGGUGUGGACAAGAGCUGGGAAAGAAGAUCCCGUUGAU